Long non-coding RNA from Pleuronectes platessa (European plaice), 967 nucleotides. RefSeq lists it as uncharacterized. The transcript has 3 exons. The record is from RefSeq and is a predicted model, not a curated record. NCBI's taxonomy places the organism in Eukaryota, Metazoa, Chordata, Actinopteri, Pleuronectiformes, Pleuronectidae.
CGGCAGCACGAGACUCCGCAAACUAGUCUGUAAGCAAAGCAGACGAAGGCAUCGAGGUUGCGGCCUGCCAUCAUUGUUAUUUUGCUUAAGGGACUGAAUAUGUUUCAUGUAGAAAUAUUAGCAUUUCCCUUAUAUCUACCAAAACUGCUUGUUUCACAGACUGCAGUUUUGUUUUGAUCCGAUGUGGUGUGCAAAUACAACCGUAUCUGCAAUGGGUUGUGGGGCAUUAACAUUUGUAACUCUAAUUUUGUUUUGACAGACUGUGAAAAGAACGUUGAGAACAUCACCACUCUACAGGAAGACACAGUCCAGUAAUGGGUGUCAGAAGUUCAGUAGUGAACGACAGGUACUGUGGAAAAAUAUGUGUCAUUGUUGUACAAUGUCCUUUGACUCUGUUUAAACAAGGUCAACACAAAAAGGUUUGAUUGUAAACUGAUAUCGGUACGAAUUCAUGUUAUUCUCCUCGUCAAAAGAAACAAACAAUCCAAAUUACCUGCAGAAAGCCCUUGAUGGACGCUUCAGCUGCAUCGUCAGACUGGCAGUACUGAUGCAUUUACUGAGAGGGGACGUGAGGGCCUACUCUGCGUGCUCAGAGUUCAAGCCCAGCAGGCUGCAGCGGGCCUGACAUAUUCUGGAACAGCAGCACAGUCUUUGGAUGACUCCUCUGAAGAUGAAAACAUGGCGAGUUCUUCUCAAGAGAAGCAGUACAGGUGUGCCUCAGCUCCACGGUCCCUCCUGCAGCCUCCGCUCCUGAUGCUAACCUCAUGUCUCCAUCACACCAAGCAGCAGACCUGGAUUGACAGACCUUUCUCCAGAGCUGCCCCCUCCCUCUGAAACCCCCCUCUCCAAAACACUAUUUGUGUAGUUUUUAAAGUAUUUUUUGCAUGAGAAUUGUUGAUCAUAACAUUUCCAGCAGAUGCCUUAAUAUAAUGUUUGUGCACAAUAAAUUACAUUGAUCAUAACAUAA